Molecule: ribosomal RNA, 847 nt
Filed under: Candidatus Phytoplasma sacchari
Lineage: Bacteria; Bacillati; Mycoplasmatota; Mollicutes; Acholeplasmatales; Acholeplasmataceae
Description: bacterial SSU rRNA
Rfam family: Bacterial small subunit ribosomal RNA
Source: RNAcentral
CGAUGGUGCUUAAAUCCCCUUAACAAGGUAUGCUUAGGGAGGAGCUUGCGUCACAUUAGUUAGUUGGCAGGGUAAAGGCCUACCAAGACUAUGAUGUGUAGCUGGACUGAGAGGUUGAACAGCCACAUUGGGACUGAGACACGGCCCAAACUCCUACGGGAGGCAGCAGUAGGGAAUUUCGGCAAUGGAGGAAACUCUGACCGAGCAACGCCGCGUGAACGAUGAAGUAUUUCGGUAUGUAAAGUUCUUUUAUUGAAGAAGAAAAAAUAGUGGAAAAACUAUCUUGACGAUAUUCAAUGAAUAAGCCCCGGCAAACUAUGUGCCAGCAGCCGCGGUAAUACAUAGGGGGCGAGCGUUAUCCGGAAUUAUUGGGCGUAAAGGGUGCGUAGGCGGUUUAAUAAGUCUAUAGUUUAAUUUCAGUGCUUAACACUGUCCUGCUAUAGAAACUAUUAGACUAGAGUGAGAUAGAGGCAAGUGGAAUUCCAUGUGUAGCGGUAAAAUGCGUAAAUAUAUGGAGGAACACCAGAGGCGUAGGCGGCUUGCUGGGUCUUUACUGACGCUGAGGCACGAAAGCGUGGGGAGCAAACAGGAUUAGAUACCCUGGUAGUCCACGCCGUAAACGAUGAGUACUAAGUGUCGGGAUUACUCGGUACUGAAGUUAACACAUUAAGUACUCCGCCUGAGUAGUACGUACGCAAGUAUGAAACUUAAAGGAAUUGACGGGACUCCGCACAAGCGGUGGAUCAUGUUGUUUAAUUCGAAGAUACACGAAAAACCUAAACCAGUCUUGACAUACUCUGCAAAGCUGUAGAAACACAGAUAGAAGGGGGAGGAGAUUCAAAGAUUC